UAACUCUGGUGUCUCCUCAUUUGCGGAUAAAUCUUUCGCCUUUUACUUAAGAUAUCCGUGGGGAGGCACAAUACAAUGAGUCUUGUCUUAUUUUUUUUAGCUCUGUCUUCCGAUGGAGU
Molecule: non-coding RNA, 119 nt
Organism: Trichobilharzia regenti
Lineage: Eukaryota; Metazoa; Platyhelminthes; Trematoda; Strigeidida; Schistosomatidae
Source: Rfam